RNAcentral lists this transfer RNA (70 nucleotides) under Bos taurus (domestic cattle). It matches the Rfam family "tRNA". From Rfam's summary of the family: Transfer RNA (tRNA) molecules are approximately 80 nucleotides in length. Their secondary structure includes four short double-helical elements and three loops (D, anti-codon, and T loops). RNAcentral also lists the same sequence under 4 other names. Lineage: Eukaryota; Metazoa; Chordata; Mammalia; Artiodactyla; Bovidae. The record is from Rfam by way of RNAcentral.
UCCCAUGUGGUCUAGUGGUUAAGACUCUGCUUCCAGUGCAGGGGCACAGGUUCAAUUCCUGGUCUGGGAA